GUGCUCACUUCGGCAGCACAUACACUAAAAUUAGAACGAUACAGAGAAAAUUAGCAUGGCCCCUGCGCAAGAAUGACACGCAAAUUCGUGAAGCAUUCCAUAUUUUU
Molecule: small nuclear RNA, 107 nt
Filed under: Callithrix jacchus (white-tufted-ear marmoset)
Lineage: Eukaryota; Metazoa; Chordata; Mammalia; Primates; Cebidae
Source: RNAcentral